Molecule: ribosomal RNA, 301 nt
Filed under: uncultured bacterium
Lineage: Bacteria
Description: partial 16S ribosomal RNA
Rfam family: Bacterial small subunit ribosomal RNA
Source: RNAcentral
CAGCCGCCGCGGUAAUACGAAGGGUGCAAGCGUUAAUCGGAAUUACUGGGCGUAAAGCGUGCGUAGGCGGUUUGUUGAGUCUGCUGUGAAAUCCCCGGGCUCAACCUGGGAAUGGCAGUGGAUACUGGCAAGCUAGAGUGUGUCAGAGGAUGGUGGAAUUCCCGGUGUAGCGGUGAAAUGCGUAGAGAUCGGGAGGAACAUCAGUGGCGAAGGCGGCCAUCUGGGACAACACUGACGCUGAGGCACGAAAGCGUGGGGAGCAAACAGGAUUAGAUACCCCCGUAGUCCCUGUCUCUUAUAC